Molecule: ribosomal RNA, 253 nt
Filed under: uncultured bacterium
Lineage: Bacteria
Description: partial 16S ribosomal RNA
Rfam family: Bacterial small subunit ribosomal RNA
Source: RNAcentral
UACGAAGGGGGCUAGCGUUGUUCGGAAUUACUGGGCGUAAAGCGCGCGCAGGCGGUUCUUCAAGUCAGGGGUGAAAGCCCAGAGCUCAACUCUGGAAUGGCCUUUGAGACUAGAGAACUAGGGUACGGGAGAGGUGAGUGGAAUUCCGAGUGUAGAGGUGAAAUUCGUAGAUAUUCGGAAGAACACCAGUGGCGAAGGCGGCUCACUGGCCCGUUACCGACGCUCAGGCGCGACAGCGUGGGGAGCAAACAGG